This 404-nucleotide ribosomal RNA is filed under the name Distocambarus carlsoni. Its description in RNAcentral is "partial large subunit ribosomal RNA". The stretch from base 80 to 404 matches the Rfam family "Bacterial large subunit ribosomal RNA", at positions 2048 to 2586 of the family's 2925-position model. Lineage: Eukaryota; Metazoa; Arthropoda; Malacostraca; Decapoda; Cambaridae. The record is from RNAcentral.
AUUAGUUUUUUAAUUGGAGGCUAGAAUGAAUGGUUGGACAAGAAAUAAUCUGUCUUAAUUUAAUGUAUUGAAUUUAACUUUUAAGUGAAAAGGCUUAAAUGAUCUAAGGGGACGAUAAGACCCUAUAAAACUUUAUAUUUAUAAAUAGUAGUUAAUAUAAAAUGAGUUUAUUAUUUUAAAAUAUUUGGUUGGGGUGACGAAGAUAAAAUAAAAAAUAACUGUCUUUUUUUUUUACAAUGAUAUUUGGUUUUAAUGAUCCUGAAGUGGAUUAUAAGAUUAAGUUACUUUAGGGAUAACAGCGUAAUUUUCUUUAAGAGUUCUUAUCGACAGGAAAGUUUGCGACCUCGAUGUUGAAUUAAGAGUUCUUUAUAGAGUAGAGGCUAUAAAAGAAGGUCUGUUCGACC